GAUGAACGCUGGCGGCGUGCCUAAUACAUGCGAGUAGAACGCUGAAGGAAGGAGCUUGCUCUUUCCGGAUGAGUUGCGAACGGGUGAGUAACGCGUAGGUAACCUGCCUGGUAGCGGGGGAUAACUAUUGGAAACGAUAGCUAAUACCGCAUAACAGUAGAUGUUGCAUGAUAUCUACUUAAAAGGUGCAAUUGCACCACUACCAGAUGGACCUGCGUUGUAUUAGCUAGUUGGUGAGGUAACGGCUCACCAGGGCGACGAUACAUAGCCGACCUGCGAGGGUGAUCGGCCACACUGGGACUGAGACACGGCCCAGACUCCUACGGGAGGCAGCAGUAGGGAAUCUUCGGCAAUGGACGGAAGUCUGACCGAGCAACGCCGCGUGAGUGAAGAAGGUUUUCGGAUCGUAAAGCUCUGUUGUAAGAGAAGAACGAGUGUGAGAGUGGAAAGUUCACACUGUGACGGUAUCUUACCAGAAAGGGACGGCUAACUACGUG
RNAcentral lists this ribosomal RNA (497 nucleotides) under uncultured bacterium. Its description in RNAcentral is "partial 16S ribosomal RNA". It matches the Rfam family "Bacterial small subunit ribosomal RNA", at positions 28 to 507 of the family's 1533-position model. The record is from RNAcentral.